AUGAGCAUUUAUAAAUUAUAACUUACGAAAAUAUGAUCGUUUAGGUCCAAGUUGUAGUUUAGGCUAUUUUUCUGCCUUACAUGUAAGUUCAAAUUAGAGAAAAUUUCUAUUUAAAUAAUAUUUCGGUUAAACUCAGUAGGUGAAACUGGUUUUAAGGCAAGCUAGCUCCGGUAAGAAAAAAAGAAUUGGUAAAUGGCGUGCCAGCAUCCGCGGUCAUACGCUGAUUUCUCGUCAAAAGAUUUAUAUAAAACAGUAUCUAGUUAAAAAUUAUAUGUUAGGCUUAUAGGCUGGGUAGAAUCUUUCUAUACUCCUCAAUUUUAAUUAUUUAGGUGCAAGAGAAAGUGUUAAUAACCAGGAUUAGAUACCCUGCUACCGCUUUUGAAAAAGUUUUAGACUAAUAAUAAUAAAUAAAAUUUAUUGGAUUUGGCGGCAAAAUACCCUUUUAGAGGAACCUGCCCUAUAAACGAUGGUCCACGAUUUCCUGACUUCCUUUUGUAACCAGUUUAUAUACCGCUGUUGCCAGUUAGUUUCUCUAGAAAUUUAUCUAAAAUUUAAUAUAAAAGGACUUCAAGUAAAGGUGUAGCUUAUAAGGAAGAAAGAGGUGGGUUACAAUUGGCUGAUCAACUACGAAUAAGUGCAUGAAAAAACUUUGAAGGAGGAUUUAAUGGUAAAAUUUCUAUAUAGUAAAUUUGAUCUGAGUAAUAUUUUGUGCACAAACCGCCCGUCGCUCUCUAUUAUGAGAUAAGUCGUAACAAGGUGAGUGUAACGGAAGUUGUACUCGU
RNAcentral lists this ribosomal RNA (782 nucleotides) under Lepas australis. RNAcentral's name for it is "12S ribosomal RNA". The record is from RNAcentral. Lineage: Eukaryota; Metazoa; Arthropoda; Thecostraca; Lepadidae.